AAGGAAUAUUGCUCAAUGGGAGAAAUCCUGAAGCAGCAACGCCGCGUGGAGGAUGAAGGGUCUAUGACUUGUAAACUCCUGUAAAGAAGGAAAAAAUUCCCAUUAGAUGGGAGAUGAUGGUACUUCUGGAGUAAGCCCCGGCUAACUACGUGCCAGCAGCCGCGGUAAUACGUAGGGGGCAAGCGUUGUCCGGAUUUACUGGGUGUAAAGGGUGCUCAGGCGGAUUUGUAAGUCAGAGGUGAAAUCUUACAGCUUAACUGUGAAACUGCCUUUGGUACUGCAAGCCUAGAGUAUGGAAGAGAGUGAUGGAAUAUCUGGUGUAGCAGUGAAAUGCGUAGAUAUCAGAUAGAACACCAAUGGCGAAGGCAGUCACUUGGUCCAUUACUGACGCUAGAGCACGAAAGCGUGGGUAGCAAACA
This 419-nucleotide ribosomal RNA is filed under the name uncultured bacterium. Its description in RNAcentral is "bacterial SSU rRNA". It matches the Rfam family "Bacterial small subunit ribosomal RNA", at positions 356 to 774 of the family's 1533-position model. The record is from RNAcentral.